RNAcentral lists this ribosomal RNA (512 nucleotides) under uncultured bacterium. RNAcentral's name for it is "bacterial SSU rRNA". It matches the Rfam family "Bacterial small subunit ribosomal RNA", at positions 8 to 518 of the family's 1533-position model. The record is from RNAcentral.
AGAGUUGAUCUGGCUCAGGAUGAACGCUAGCGGCAGGCUAACACAUGCAAGCCGAGGGGCAACGCGAGUAGCAAUACUUGGCGGCGACCGGCGCAAGGGUGCGUAACGCGUGAGCAACAUGCCCGUAUCAGGGGGAUAAUCCAGGGAAACUUGGUCUAAUACCCCAUAGUAAUUUUGUAAGGCAUCUUAUAAGAUUUAAAGCUUUGGUGGAUACGGAUUGGCUCGCGUGACAUUAGCUGGAUGGUAAGGUAACGGCUUACCACGGCUAUGAUGUCUAGGGGUUCUGAGAGGAAGGUCCCCCACACUGGAACUGAGACACGGUCCAGACUCCUACGGGAGGCAGCAGUGAGGAAUAUUGGACAAUGGAUGGAAAUCUGAUCCAGCCAUGCCGCGUGAAGGAAGAAGGUCCUAUGGAUUGUAAACUUCUUUUGUAUGGGAGCAAUAAGGCCUACGAGUAGGUUGAUGAGAGUACCAUACGAAUAAGCACCGGCUAACUCCGUGCCAGCCGCUGC